AAGUCUAAAACGACUCUCGGCAACGGAUAUCUCGGCUCUCGCAUCGAUGAAGAACGUAGCGAAAUGCGAUACUUGGUGUGAAUUGCAGAAUCCCGUGAACCAUCGAGUCUUUGAACGCAAGUUGCGCCCCAAGCCUUCUGGCCGAGGGCAYGUCUGCCUGGGUGUCACA
RNAcentral lists this ribosomal RNA (169 nucleotides) under Eremophyton chevallieri. RNAcentral's name for it is "5.8S ribosomal RNA". It matches the Rfam family "5.8S ribosomal RNA". From Rfam's summary of the family: 5.8S ribosomal RNA (5.8S rRNA) is a component of the large subunit of the eukaryotic ribosome. It is transcribed by RNA polymerase I as part of the 45S precursor that also contains 18S and 28S rRNA. Lineage: Eukaryota; Viridiplantae; Streptophyta; Magnoliopsida; Brassicales; Brassicaceae. The record is from RNAcentral.